CCUACGGGUGGCAGCAGUGAGGAAUAUUGGUCAAUGGACGAGAGUCUGAACCAGCCAAGUAGCGUGAAGGAUGACUGCCCUAUGGGUUGUAAACUUCUUUUAUAUGGGAAUAAAGUGUUCCACGUGUGGGAUUUUGUAUGUACCAUAUGAAUAAGGAUCGGCUAACUCCGUGCCAGCAGCCGCGGUAAUACGGAGGGUCCGAGCGUUAUCCGGAUUUAUUGGGUUUAAAGGGAGCGUAGGUGGAUUGUUAAGUCAGUUGUGAAAGUUUGCGGCUCAACCGUAAAAUUGCAGUUGAAACUGGCAGUCUUGAGUACAGUAGAGGUGGGCGGAAUUCGUGGUGUAGCGGUGAAAUGCUUAGAUAUCACGAAGAACUCCGAUUGCGAAGGCAGUUCACUGGACUGCAACUGACACUGAGGCUCGAAAGUGUGGGUAUCAAACAGGAUUAGAUACCCUGGUAGUC
RNAcentral lists this ribosomal RNA (460 nucleotides) under uncultured bacterium. RNAcentral's name for it is "partial 16S ribosomal RNA". It matches the Rfam family "Bacterial small subunit ribosomal RNA", at positions 338 to 795 of the family's 1533-position model. The record is from RNAcentral.